CCUACGGGAGGCAGCAGUGGGGAAUAUUGCGCAAUGGGCGAAAGCCUGACGCAGCGACGCCGCGUGAGGGAUGAAGGUCUUCGGAUCGUAAACCUCUGUCAGCAGGGAAGAACGGUCACUGUGCUAAUCAGCAGUGAAUUGACGGUACCUGCAAAGGAAGCACCGGCUAACUCCGUGCCAGCAGCCGCGGUAAUACGGAGGGUGCGAGCGUUAAUCGGAAUUACUGGGCGUAAAGCGCUCGUAGGCGGUAUGUCAAGUCAAGGGUGAAAUCCCCGGGCCUAACGUGGGAACUGCCUUUGAAACUGGCAGACUGGAGUGUGUGAGAGGAUAGUGGAAUUCCAGGUGUAGGAGUGAAAUCCGUAGAUAUCUGGAGGAACAUCAGUGGCGAAGGCGACUAUCUGGCACAUAACUGACGCUGAGGAGCGAAAGCGUGGGUAGCAAACAGGAUUAGAUACCCCAGUAGUC
Molecule: ribosomal RNA, 465 nt
Filed under: uncultured bacterium
Lineage: Bacteria
Description: partial 16S ribosomal RNA
Rfam family: Bacterial small subunit ribosomal RNA
Source: RNAcentral